UUUCUAUUAUUUGCAGUCAGUAACAAAGAUUCAUUCUUGUGUCAGUCAUCCAACAAGGAGAAUCUUUGUCACUUAGUGUAAUUAAUAGCUGCAC
Heterocephalus glaber (naked mole-rat) is the source of this 94-nucleotide non-coding RNA. Lineage: Eukaryota; Metazoa; Chordata; Mammalia; Rodentia; Bathyergidae. The record is from Rfam.